This 254-nucleotide unclassified non-coding RNA is filed under the name uncultured Acidimicrobiia bacterium. Its description in RNAcentral is "contains 16S-23S intergenic spacer region". It matches the Rfam family "Bacterial small subunit ribosomal RNA", at positions 524 to 776 of the family's 1533-position model. The record is from RNAcentral. Lineage: Bacteria; Bacillati; Actinomycetota; Acidimicrobiia.
UACGGAGGGUGCGAGCGUUAUCCGGAAUCAUUGGGCGUAAAGAGCUCGUAGGCGGUUCAGCAAGUCGGCUGUGAAAGUCCGAGGCUCAACCUCGGAAUUGCAGUCGAUACUGCUGUGACUCGAGUCCGGUAGAGGAGAACGGAAUUCUCGGUGUAGCGGUGAAAUGCGCAGAUAUCGAGAGGAACACCAGUAGCGAAGGCGGUUCUCUGGGCCGGCACUGACGCUGAGGUACGAAAGCAUGGGGAACAAACAGG